RNAcentral lists this ribosomal RNA (620 nucleotides) under uncultured bacterium. RNAcentral describes it as "bacterial SSU rRNA". It matches the Rfam family "Bacterial small subunit ribosomal RNA", at positions 53 to 663 of the family's 1533-position model. The record is from RNAcentral.
ACAUGCAGUCGAACGGUAACGACGGGAGCUUGCUCCCGGGCGACGAGUGGCGGACGGGUGAGUAAUACUUAGGAAUCUGCCCAGUAGUGGGGGACAACUCGAGGAAACUCGAGCUAAUACCGCAUACGCCCUACGGGGGAAAGCGGAGGAUCUUUCGGGGCUUCGCGCUAUUGGAUGAGCCUAAGUCGGAUUAGCUUGUUGGUGGGGUAAAGGCCUACCAAGGCGACGAUCUGUAGCUGGUCUGAGAGGACGAUCAGCCACACUGGGACUGAGACACGGCCCAGACUCCUACGGGAGGCAGCAGUGGGGAAUAUUGGACAAUGGGGGCAACCCUGAUCCAGCAAUGCCGCGUGUGUGAAGAAGGCCUGCGGGUUGUAAAGCACUUUCAGUAGAGAAGAAAUGCCCAUGGUUAAUACCCGUGGGUCUUGACGUAACCUACAGAAGAAGCACCGGCUAACUCCGUGCCAGCAGCCGCGGUAAUACGGAGGGUGCGAGCGUUAAUCGGAAUUACUGGGCGUAAAGCGCGCGUAGGCGGUUUGGUCAGUCGGAUGUGAAAGCCCUAGGCUCAACCUGGGAAUGGCAUUCGAUACUGCCUGACUAGAGUAUGGUAGAGGGAAGUG